This 450-nucleotide ribosomal RNA is filed under the name uncultured bacterium. RNAcentral describes it as "partial 16S ribosomal RNA". It matches the Rfam family "Bacterial small subunit ribosomal RNA", at positions 354 to 796 of the family's 1533-position model. The record is from RNAcentral.
GUGGGGAAUUUUGGACAAUGGGCGAAAGCCUGAUCCAGCCAUGCCGCGUGCAGGAUGAAGGCCUUCGGGUUGUAAACUGCUUUUGUACGGAACGACAAGACUCCUUCUAAUAAAGGGGGUCCAUGACGGUACCGUAAGAAUAAGCACCGGCUAACUACGUGCCAGCAGCCGCGGUAAUACGUAGGGUGCAAGCGUUAAUCGGAAUUACUGGGCGUACAGCGUGCGCAGGCGGUGAUGUAAGACAGUUGUGAAAUCCCCGGGCUCAACCUGGGAACUGCAUCUGUGACUGCAUUGCUGGAGUGCGGCAGAGGGGGAUGGAAUUCCGCGUGUAGCAGUGAAAUGCGUAGAUAUGCGGAGGAACACCGAUGGCGAAGGCAAUCCCCUGGGCCUGCACUGACGCUCAUGCACGAAAGCGUGGGGAGCAAACAGGAUUAGAUACCCGAGUAGUCC